This 594-nucleotide long non-coding RNA is filed under the name Mytilus galloprovincialis (Mediterranean mussel). Lineage: Eukaryota; Metazoa; Mollusca; Bivalvia; Mytilida; Mytilidae. The record is from RNAcentral.
CAAAAUAUAUGGCUCUAAUGGCGUUCCAUACAAAAAAUAUUUUGACAAACUGACGGAGUGAAAUCAAAAAUCGCAAAUUAAGAAGCUCAAAUUGACUGAGAAUUGUGUAUAAUAAAUGCAGGAAUAAAAAUAACUAUCAAAUAAACAUCGAAAUUCUUAAUUAUACCCCGAAGGGUAUAAUGUUUUUGACCCGUCCGUCCGUCAGUCCGUCAGUCCUGUUUCUUGUCAUCGCAACUCCUCUCAAACCACACAACAGAAUUUCACGAAACCUUUUCAGAUAAUAAGGACAUACUAUGUAGUUGUGCAUAUCGACGGGAAAUUGCAAUUCAAUUUUUUUUCUAGGAGUUACGCCCUUUUGAACUUAUUUACUUUAAUGUAUUACUGCAACAGUUUGUCAUCGCAACUCCUCUCAAACCACACAACAGAAUUUCACGAAACCUUUUCAGAUAAUAAGGACAUACUAUGUAGUUGUGCAUAUCGACGGGAAAUUGCGAUUCAAUUUUUUUUCUAGGAGUUACGCCCCUUUGAACUUAUUUACUUUAAUGUACUACUGCAACAGUUUGUCAUCGCAACUCCUCUCAAACCACACAACAG